GACGUAGGGCGCGAGCGUUGUCCGGAUUUAUUGGGCGUAAAGCGCACGUAGGCGGAUCGUUAAGUCAGGGGUGAAAUCCUGGAGCUCAACUCCAGAACUGCCUUUGAUACUGGCGAUCUUGAGUCCGGAAGAGGUGAGUGGAACUCCUAGUGUAGAGGUGGAAUUCGUAGAUAUUAGGAAGAACACCAGUGGCGAAGGCGGCUCACUGGUCCGGUACUGACGCUGAGGUGCGAAAGCGUGGGGAGCAAACAGG
Molecule: ribosomal RNA, 253 nt
Filed under: uncultured bacterium
Lineage: Bacteria
Description: partial 16S ribosomal RNA
Rfam family: Bacterial small subunit ribosomal RNA
Source: RNAcentral